AACGAACGCUGGCGGCGCGUCUUAAGCAUGCAAGUCGAACGGCAAGAGAGGAGCUUGCUUCUCUCCUAGAGUGGCGGACUGGUGAGGAACACGUGGGUAAUCUACCCUUAAGAUGGGGAUAGCUGCUAGAAAUAGCAGAUAAUACCGAAUACACUCGGCGCUUCAUAAGAGGCGUUGAGGAAAGGAAGCUACGGCUUCGCUUGAGGAUGAGCUUGCGUCCCAUUAGCUAGUUGGUGAGGUAACGGCCCACCAAGGCGACGAUGGGUAUCCGGCCUGAGAGGGUGAACGGACACAUUGGGACUGAGAUACGGCCCAAACUCCUACGGGAGGCAGCAGCUAAGAAUAUUCCGCAAUGGACGGAAGUCUGACGGAGCGACGCCGCGUGGAUGAAGAAGGCUGAAAAGUUGUAAGAUCCUUUUGUUGAUGAAGAAUAAGGAUGAGAGGGAAUGCUCAUCUGAUGACGGUAAUCGACGAAUAAGCCCCG
This 484-nucleotide ribosomal RNA is filed under the name Treponema sp. 1:Y:397. RNAcentral's name for it is "bacterial SSU rRNA". It matches the Rfam family "Bacterial small subunit ribosomal RNA", at positions 29 to 495 of the family's 1533-position model. Lineage: Bacteria; Pseudomonadati; Spirochaetota; Spirochaetia; Treponematales; Treponemataceae. The record is from RNAcentral.